This 559-nucleotide ribosomal RNA is filed under the name Isophya kraussii. Its description in RNAcentral is "SSU rRNA". It matches the Rfam family "Eukaryotic small subunit ribosomal RNA", at positions 720 to 1163 of the family's 1831-position model. Lineage: Eukaryota; Metazoa; Arthropoda; Insecta; Orthoptera; Tettigoniidae. The record is from RNAcentral.
AUGAUUCGUGGGACGUCCUGCCGGUGGUGGCGAGUCGAAGGCGUGCUCCCGUUGUGGUUUCCACUUCGGUUCUUGCGCGCCCGAGGCGGACCCCGAUGAAAUCCUACCGCGGUGCUCUUCGCCGAGUGUCGAGGUGGGCCGGCACGUUUACUUUGAACAAAUUAGAGUGCUUAAAGCAGGCCUGUUGCGCCUGAAUACUGUGUGCAUGGAAUAAUGGAAUAGGACCUCGGUUCUAUUUUGUUGGUUUUCGGAACCCGAGGUAAUGAUUAAUAGGGACAGGCGGGGGCAUUCGUAUUGCGACGUUAGAGGUGAAAUUCUUGGAUCGUCGCAAGACGGACCGAAGCGAAAGCAUUUGCCAAGUAUGUUUUCAUUAAUCAAGAACGAAAGUUAGAGGUUCGAAGGCGAUCAGAUACCGCCCUAGUUCUAACCAUAAACGAUGCCAGCUAGCGAUCCGCCGAAGUUCCUCCGAUGACUCGGCGGGCAGCUCCCGGGAAACCAAAGCUUUUGGGUUCCGGGGGAAGUAUGGUUGCAAGCUGAAACUUAAGGAAUUGACGGAAGG